CUUUGGCUUUGUUUCUGACUACGUUUUCUUUUUAUCCUUAUCUGUUCUGGUUGUUGGCUUACUGUUUACUGUGUACCAGACCCCGGCUUGUCCUAGUUUACGCUGUCUCUCUGUGCCCUUGACUUCGGAUCGUUCCUGACUCUGCCUCCUCUCAUAUACGUCGAGUCCGGCUAUUCUAAGGUCCGGUAGACGUAUCUCUCCUCUGUGUUGUCUCUGUUUAGCUGAAUCCUGCGUGUUGGGGUAUAUUCACGUUACACCCACAGGGUUUUACAGAACAACCAAUAACACGUACAAUACACUCAGACACUCCCACACAAAAU
Molecule: non-coding RNA, 320 nt
Organism: Pelobates cultripes (western spadefoot toad)
Lineage: Eukaryota; Metazoa; Chordata; Amphibia; Anura; Pelobatidae
Source: the annotation of a GenBank genome assembly